UCCCUGGUGGCUCAGUGGUAAAGCAUCCGCCUGCCAAAGUGGGAGUCGUGGGUUCGAUCCCUGGCCUGGGAA
Molecule: transfer RNA, 72 nt
Filed under: Ovis aries (sheep)
Lineage: Eukaryota; Metazoa; Chordata; Mammalia; Artiodactyla; Bovidae
Rfam family: tRNA
About the family: Transfer RNA (tRNA) molecules are approximately 80 nucleotides in length. Their secondary structure includes four short double-helical elements and three loops (D, anti-codon, and T loops). Further hydrogen bonds mediate the characteristic L-shaped molecular structure. tRNAs have two regions of fundamental functional importance: the anti-codon, which is responsible for specific mRNA codon recognition, and the 3' end, to which the tRNAs corresponding amino acid is attached (by aminoacyl-tRNA synthetases). tRNAs cope with the degeneracy of the genetic code in two manners: having more than one tRNA (with a specific anti-codon) for a particular amino acid; and 'wobble' base-pairing, i.e. permitting non-standard base-pairing at the 3rd anti-codon position.
Source: Rfam by way of RNAcentral